AACCAUAGAAACCUGCGGAGUACCUGCGGCGGGAUCAUUACAGAGUUGCAAAACUCCCACAAACCAUCGCGAAUCUUACCCGUACGGUUGCCUCGGCGCUGGCGGUCCGGAAGGCCCUCGGGCCCCCGGACCCUCGGGUCCCCCGCUCGCGGGGGGCUGCCCGCCGGAGUGCCGAAACCAAACUCUUGAUAUUUUAUGUCUCUCUGAGUAAACUUUUAAAUAAGUCAAAACUUUUAGCAA
This 240-nucleotide unclassified non-coding RNA is filed under the name soil metagenome. RNAcentral's name for it is "partial contains 5.8S ribosomal RNA, internal transcribed spacer 2, and large subunit ribosomal RNA". The record is from RNAcentral.